Dermacentor andersoni is the source of this 6343-nucleotide non-coding RNA. The record is from RefSeq and is a predicted model, not a curated record. NCBI's taxonomy places the organism in Eukaryota, Metazoa, Arthropoda, Arachnida, Ixodida, Ixodidae.
UGACCAUCACCCUGUGUAAAAAAAUAAUUACGACGUAUGUAAGUAACUAAACUAUAAUGAAUUCCUUUCAAAUUAUAAAGGUGGCGCAGGAGUCGAACAAGCAGGCGAAGCGUUGACGAAGCCAGGAAAACAACAUGGAAUGUUGUUACUGUGCUAACAUUUCUGUCGGCUACGACUGCUACGACUCCUAGUUAAAUGGUUGAAUAUUCUUCGGUUCUGCAGUCAAGUAUAGGCGAAGAUCGAACGUCGGUUGGUGUGUUCGCAAUGUGCGUAUGACGGAUCGAAAGUGACCAUAGAAGGCGCCUAGCCAAAGUCCGGAUCGCAGUGAAUGUAUACGCGCCCUCGAAUCGGGGGCUCUAUCAAUGCUCCCAGUUCUCAUGUGACGCCUGAUGGACACGCCGAGCUCUCUUCCGAAAUCGGAGGACGAACGCCUCUACACACCGAGGAGAGGCCUCUGCUCAACUGCGUCGUCAUAGCAGCAUUCACGCUGUGGCUGUUCGUCUUGGAGCGGAGCUGAAGGCCGUGAAACUAUGCAUAUGAGCAACAACGCACGCUACAUAUUCGCUCGUACCGUGCAGAAAAUGGCAUGAACUACAUAAUUGCAAUACCUGUACAGGGGCCCGGAGAGAACAAAAUGUAUAUUGAGAAGAAAUUCUCACUCAACAUGGAGCCGGCCACUCCAAAGAUUCUUCCAACACGCUACUUGCUUCAAAACAGGGCCAAGAACGAAGAAAAAUACGGGAAAAAAAACGCUAAUUCUAUCUAUGAUGUACGCCACGUCACCGUUCUCUAGUCUUAUACGCGAUGUACUUUUGAGGACUUCCAAAAAUUCUUAAAUGUAGAGCGCUUAAAAUAAAAGCGCGAUCUUUUUAGAGAAGCCGGAGGAUAAUCGAGAACGGCGGACGUCGGAACACAGACUAUGGUCCUAAUUGUCUCGCUAAUUAGUUAUAUGCACUAAUUAGCGUUAACUAGCGCAUUUAUAUGGCUUCAGGGAAUGUAAAGUUCGUAGCAAUUGACGAAGUGAUCUGAUGUCAAUUUUCAAAUCGCGUGACAAGUCCUUCUGCUAGGUCCUGCAGCAGAAGAAAUUUUCUUACUUUUUCCGCUGGGAAACUGAAACUGCGCUUGUGGGGAAACCACGUGUACAAGCCGUACCACGCAAUGCGAACCAUCUUUAUUGUUUCGAUGUGGUGAUUACGGCUCAUGAAGUGUCCUUGGCUUCACUGUGACGUUGGCACGUCAGAAUAUCGGCAAUGACCCAUCGUUGGCACCGCUAAUGUAAUUACUUGCUUACUGCUAGAAAUGUGCUCAUUUUCGGUGAUUUUAUGUUUUAACGUUUUAUUUCAAGGCGCAAUAGUCGCAACGUAUGUGACACAUGAAAUCACAGCCUGUUCACUGGUGUUUUAAAUGGAUGUAAACCUCGAUUAGGGCGAGUUGGUUUAUCUUGACAGUGUUCACAAAACGCGCUAAUGACGAAGACGACAGGAACACAUACGACAGAAGGGGCGCUGAACUUUCAACUAUAGCGUUUAUUUCAAACGAUCGUCCAUUUUAUGCUAAAUCGUCCAUUUUUAUGUGAUCGUCCAUUUUUAGCAUAAUAUGGAGGAUCGUUUGAAAUAAACGCUACUUCGAAGUUCAGCACCCAUCCUGUCCUAUGUGUCCCUGUCGUCUUCGUCUUUAGCGCGGUUUGUGAACACUGUCAAGAUGUCAAGAAGUAAUAACUAUGGAAUUAGUUUUUGAGAAUGUUUAUGUGAAACUGGAAAGGACCACCUCUAGGAACAUCAACGAAACAAAUAAGUACCGAGAGCAAAAGAAAAUUCAGAAAUAUAUAUAAUAUAUGCGCCUGACUCCCAAUGCUCAACUUCUGAAGUCAGGCCACGCAAAAAAAUAUUAUGGAAAUUUAUUGGCGUCAAUAUUAGCCACAAUGAUGUCCAUUCUAUGCGGGAAAGCAGUAUCUUCAGAAAUGUGAAAACGAUCAAGUUCAUAUUACACAGGAAACAUUUGUUUUUGUAAUUGCCGCAGGCACCUGGCUCGUUUUUUAGUGCAUUCCUUAUGCUCGAGAAGCAUUGGUUGUCAGGUCAGGGAGUAUGAAGAAGCCUCCUCAUACUUGAUUAGUUGAUUAUUGCGCUUGUUGCGAUUAUUGCGGAUUAAAUCGGCUGCGUGCUGUUGUGUGAAUGAAAACACCACACAAUGGGAAGGAUUGCGCGUAACAAUUUCGAUAUAUGGUGUCAAAACGCGGAUAGAUUAAAGACACCCACGAUGGGAAAAGUAAAGUUGCACUUUAUAUAUCAGUCGAAUAAAAUUACUAAAGCGUGUCCUUGUGUGAGUGAAAUCCCCGCACGACGGGAUGGAUUGCUUGUAAUAAUUUGUUCAUACGCUGUCGAGUGGAUAAAGGCAACCGGCGAUGGGAAAAAUAACCGUGCACUUUGUAUUAUUCGAACACAAUCAUCAAAAUAAGACGCGGUCAUGAGCAUCUGCCGUUGUUUGAGACAUCGUUGAAACAGCUUAGACGUAUCGGAAAAUAAGACAACCUGACAGAAGCUUCUAAGCGUUUUUUUUUUUUUUUUUUUUUUUCCCGUUUGAUUGAGGAAAUGCUAGGAGCACUGCAGGCUAGUUUCGACGACAGCUCCAGUAAAAGUUCUUUUUUUUCUUCCAGACUCCCCAAUAUGCCAAAAAUAGUAAAAUCUGACCAAUAGCUUAAGUUUAAUCGUCAUUUCACACGGCGCGUAGCGUUGCUAGUAGAAUUAUUCGAACAGACAUGUUGAGGAACGUGUAGAAAAACUAUGGAUCAAAUUGAUCGAUUGCUAUAGGCCUGGUAAGGAAAUAGUUAAACGGUCACAAACGUCGCGAUCAUCACUUUUUCAGGGGCGGCAGCCACGCACAAGAAGAAUAAAAAAAAGCACCCCUACCAUGCGCCGCCAAGUAAAAUUCUAGACAAGCUUGACAAAAGAGCUAGUGCACUAUAAGCUUCAUUUUGGCGCAUCGGUGACGUGCGAGGGAAGUGCCCACGACGAACCGUAAUCACCACGUCAACAGUGUACUAGUACACUGUAAAACGACGAAAUAAGAAAGACGGUUUGGCUCACGUGACACAGACAAGGAAACGUCAGAGGACGUCCACAAUUGACGUGUCCUCUGCACGUGGUUUCUUGCAUUCCUGAUGCGCCAAAUUUGUUACCCAGCUGUCUCAUGCUGCGCGGCCUAGGAUAAGGACUUCUCGCGUGAUCUGAAAACUAUCAGUUUUCGUCGACAGUUACAACUAUUACAUUGUCAACAGCUGCGUAUGUACGCUAGUGAAAUAGUACAAUUAUUGAAUUUGACUAUAGUCCGAAAAUUAGAACACCUGACGUGUUUUUCUGAUGUACACCGUUCCAGAGAAUUCGUCUUCUAACAAAUCAUAUUUAUUUAUUUAUUUAUUUAUUUAUUUAUUUAUUUAUUUAUUUAUUUAUUUAUUUAAAUACUCGCAAUGCCAUUGUGGCGUUACAGAGAGGAGUGGUGUUCAAUAUGUUCACGUGUUCAUGUUCAAAAUGGGAGUCUUGAAUGAUGCAUGCUCAUGGUUGCUGGCGAUGGAGGUACGGAGGUGAUUCCAUUUUUACCUUGAGCGCUCUAGUUUCAGGAAUGUUUGGCAGUCUGCAAAAAACACGCGGUAUUGAUUCACAACACAAUGUACAUCCUAUUGUGAAGAAAUAUAGGCCUGCCGCCCACUGUAGAAACGCCCAUGUCGCGCACUGGCGGCAACGACCGGCUAUCCUUUCUUUUUCCAACUGUACAUUUAAUAUACAGGGUACCCCUACUAUCAUGCGCCAAGAUUUAAACAUGAGCAAAUGCCACGUAGAUGGACAGAACUAAGGUAAUGUUAUUUGCCGUCGCUUGGAGAUACUCAGAUUAUUUUUUCAUUCCGCCUAAUUACAUAAUUAGUCUCAAUUAAUCAACUUCCGAAAUAUCAUAACUACAUUAAAAGUGCCAGUCAGAAAAUUGUAGAGCAACAUGAAAAUUUUCAGAUACAGCUUUCUGUUGCCCAAUAUGUGCUACAUAAAAGUGUUCCUCCGAGCGUGAAGGAAGCCUGCGAAUACACAUAAUAUGCCUCGAGCGGCCAGUCGUGCCGCAAUUUUCCGUGUAUUUGCGGGCUUUUACGCUCGGAAUAAAUCCUUUGUGUAGUACGUAUGGAGCAACAGAAAGAUGUAUUGGGAGUUGUUCUUGUUGCUCUGCAAUUUUCUCAUUCAAGCAUUUAAUCUAAUUACAAUAAUUGAGAAGUUGAUUAUUUAUGUAAUUAGGCGGAAUACAAAAAUUAAUCUGGGUAUCUCCAAGUGAAGGCAAACGACAUUACCUUGGUUCGGUCCAGCUACGUCGCAUUCGUAUAUAUUAAAAUCUUGCCGCAUGAUAGUUGGCACACCCUGUAUAUUACGGGAUGCAGUGCAACUACCUCAAAUACUGUAGAAAGUAUUGCGCACACUAAACGAAAACAACAAGAAAAGGACCCAAAGACGGCGCUGGUCUUUGUGUCCACUUCUUUUUGUCUUCGUUGAAUGUGCGCAAAACUUUACACUAUGAAGUCAAACCAACUAGCCCGCCUCUCAGUCUUAUUGCCUAAUACGGUAGUAUUUGCGCAGCAUAUACGUGGGUUGUAUAGUUGUCCCUCGACAGUGGGUACGCAUAGAACAAAUUAACCCGCAUUUUCAUUUGAACGAUAAACAAUAAGGAGGUCGUUCAGAGCUAAGAAGCAUACCCCCUUUUGCUUUGUUAUGCCUACCACUGUGUGCGUGCGUGUGUGUGUGUGUGUGUGUGUGUGUGUGUGUGUGUGUGUGUGUGUGUGUGUGUGUGUGUGUGUGUGUGUGUGUGUGUGUGUGUGUGUGUGUGUGUGUGUCCAUGAAAGCGGGUGCGGGGGCCUUCCUUGCGCGCAAUAAAGCUUCGUUUCAUGAUAUGCUGUUGUUUAUUGAUCUCAAGGGUACUGACCUUCGCCACAAAGCUGACUUCUCAGUUUUCUUUGUGUGUGCGUGCGUGUUUUAACACAAUGUCUUCCUUGGCGAGCCUGGAUAAAGCGAUGUCUCAAUAUGUGGGCCUACUGCGAAGGCAGUGGAAAGACGGAUGCAAGUGUCCCUGUUUGCGCGCCUAACUUUUUUCAAAGUCCGACGCUCUUCCUACUCCCCUCACGCUACGGGUGACGCCAUAAAGUGCCAUGCGAUGUGACUCCGCCCUCGGCACGUAGAGGAGCGCUACGCCGCGAUGAUCGCGAAGGGGAACUUUCAGUACAUCGGGGGAGCGUCAAGGAACGAGACAGAGAGAGAUAUGUUAUUGAUAGGAAAGACAAAGUCGUCGACAUGAGCUAGUGCACUCUAGUUUGCUACGCUGCACUAGUUACAGUACGUAUAUGCUAACUAUGCAGUAACUCUAGGAUGAGAGAGGAGGACCGAUGUUCUUUCACAAGAGUCCCGGCGGCUACGGUGUCGUGUUGAUCGGCGACGUCCGUUCUCCGAUUGGAGACACCGGAUGUCGCUCCAGCGCGGCUCACAAUAAAACGUACGGUUCAGAAACCCCAUUCUCAUCCCGAACUUUCUUUCAUCGACUUCAACUAGAGGUGGAAUCGCCUUCAAACUUUCCUUUUUUUUUUUUUUUUCUGGCGACUUUAACCAGGUAAGAACUGCAGCAGUGAGCCACAGAUUUUCUACAGCGCAAGCCUAUAUACUAGGGAUUUCGAUGCGGCGCGGGAACUUCGCUCAAAGGUGGGUAUGUAUUACCAGCGUAUACCUCUGCGCUGUGCCGACGCUCGUGCAACGUUUGUGAACCCGCUGCGAUGGCUCAGUGCCUGUGUGGAGCGCUGCUGCUGCUGAGCACGACGUCGCGGGAUUCCUGACCGCGGUGACCGCUUUCCGCAGACUGUUCUUUGUGUUGCGCAUCAAUAAAACUGAAGUGUGUAAACGAUGUUGCAUUAUUCGUUGCAAAUUAGCAUGCUAUCGGCCAUUCUACCUAAAUGCCAUGGCAAGGACCACGCUUCUUGGCCUAGCUACACUGAAGUGGCGUCGUAUGAGUGCACACCUCGGAAAGUUGCCUGGCGUGGGCAACGACCAUUGUAUGGGAAGGGCUGCCUACAUGUGAGCUGAUUUGGCAGCGAAAACCAGGAGCAAAAGAACGCCGUUACUGACUCCGCGUGAUCGAUCCUACCGAUUAAGCUUCCUACUGACACCUGAUCGUUGUUAUAAUUUGUUGGCGGAUGCCCGACAGGUAUUUGUGGAAGUAUCGGCAUUAAUAAUCAUGUCUCGAUCUCGCACAAAGCUCUCGGUAGUGACCAUUGCACAGACUAGGUUUUUGCUGUGACUUCGUCAUGGGGCUGUCAUGUUGUAAAGUCCUG